This 276-nucleotide unclassified non-coding RNA is filed under the name uncultured fungus. RNAcentral's name for it is "sequence contains ITS1". The record is from RNAcentral. Lineage: Eukaryota; Fungi.
GUCUGGGUUGGUGAGGCGCCUCUUUCGAAGCGGCACUCGGGCUUCAGCUUUCGUAGGUGUUUGGUGUGUGGGUGGGAUUUCGUCCAGCGAGCCGGAGCCCGCACCGCGAGACCUUGUCCCAGUCUUCGCCGACGGCGAGGUCGGCCAGUGGCUGGGCCAGGAACAGGCGCCCGGGCGGUCCCACGAGGGGCCCGCACCGAGGGAACACAACGACCAGGUGAGCAGGUAGACGGUAUAAUAGAUUCAAUGAUCCCUCCGCAGGUUCACCUACGGAGA